CAGGUCAGCAUACUGCCGUGAAUACGUUCCCGGGCCUUGUACACACCGCCCGUCACACCAUGAGAGUUGGAGAUACCCGAAGCCUAUGAGCUUAACUUUUAGAGGCAGUAGUCGAAGGUAGAAUCAAUGAUUGGGGUGAAGUCGUAACAAGGUAUC
Molecule: ribosomal RNA, 156 nt
Filed under: uncultured bacterium
Lineage: Bacteria
Description: partial 16S ribosomal RNA
Rfam family: Bacterial small subunit ribosomal RNA
Source: RNAcentral